GGGUGCAGUGGCCCAUGCCUAUUGUCUCAGCUACUUAGAAAGACGAAGUGGGAGGGUCACUUGAGCCCAGGAGUUUGAGGCCAGCCUGGGUAACAUAGUGAGACCCUGCCUUUA
Molecule: small RNA, 114 nt
Filed under: Marmota monax (woodchuck)
Lineage: Eukaryota; Metazoa; Chordata; Mammalia; Rodentia; Sciuridae
Source: RNAcentral